UUAAUAGCAUAAUUCAUUGACGUUAGUCACAGAAGAAGCACCGGCUAACUCCGUGCCAGCAGCCGCGGUAAUACGGAGGGUGCGAGCGUUAAUCGGAAUAACUGGGCGUAAAGGGGCACGCAGGCGGUGACUUAAGUGAGGUGUGAAAUCCCCGGGCUUAACCUGGGAAUUGCAUUUCAGACUGGGUCGCUAGAGUACUUUAGGGAGGGGUAGAAUUCCACGUGUAGCGGUGAAAUGCGUAGAGAUGUGGAGGAAUACCGAAGGCGAAGGCAGCCCCUUGGGAAUGUACUGACGCUCAUGUGCGAAAGCGUGGGGAGCAAACAGGAUUAGAUACCCUGGUAG
RNAcentral lists this ribosomal RNA (342 nucleotides) under uncultured bacterium. RNAcentral's name for it is "bacterial SSU rRNA". It matches the Rfam family "Bacterial small subunit ribosomal RNA", at positions 453 to 793 of the family's 1533-position model. The record is from RNAcentral.